This 429-nucleotide ribosomal RNA is filed under the name Salmonella enterica subsp. enterica serovar Goldcoast. RNAcentral's name for it is "partial 23S ribosomal RNA". It matches the Rfam family "Bacterial large subunit ribosomal RNA", at positions 1983 to 2411 of the family's 2925-position model. The record is from RNAcentral. Lineage: Bacteria; Pseudomonadati; Pseudomonadota; Gammaproteobacteria; Enterobacterales; Enterobacteriaceae.
CCGACCUGCACGAAUGGCGUAAUGAUGGCCAGGCUGUCUCCACCCGAGACUCAGUGAAAUUGAACUCGCUGUGAAGAUGCAGUGUACCCGCGGCAAGACGGAAAGACCCCGUGAACCUUUACUAUAGCUUGACACUGAACACUGGUCCUUGAUGUGCAGGAUAGGUGGGAGGCUUUGAAGCGCGGACGCCAGUUCGUGUGGAGCCAUCCUUGAAAUACCACCCUUUAAUGGCUGGUGUUCUAACGUAGACCCGUGAUCCGGGUUGCGGACAGUGUCUGGUGGGUAGUUUGACUGGGGCGGUCUCCUCCUAAAGAGUAACGGAGGAGCACGAAGGUUAGCUAAUCCUGGUCGGACAUCAGGAGGUUAGUGCAAAGGCAUAAGCUAGCUUGACUGCGAGCGUGACGGCGCGAGCAGGUGCGAAAGCAGGUC